CGUCGCCGCGGUAACACAGAGGGUGCGAGCGUUAAUCGGAUUUACUGGGCGUAAAGCGCACGCAGGCGGUCUGACAAGUCAGAUGUGAAAUCCCCGGGCUUAACCUGGGAACUGCAUUUGAAACUGUCAGGCUGGAGUCUUGUAGAGGGGGGUAGAAUUCCAGGUGUAGCGGUGAAAUGCGUAGAGAUCUGGAGGAAUACCGGUGGCGAAGGCGGCCCCCUGGACAAAGACUGACGCUCAGGUGCGAAAGCGUGGGGAGCAAACAGGAUUAGAUACCCGCGUAGUCCCUGUCUCUUAUACA
This 301-nucleotide ribosomal RNA is filed under the name uncultured bacterium. Its description in RNAcentral is "partial 16S ribosomal RNA". It matches the Rfam family "Bacterial small subunit ribosomal RNA", at positions 510 to 808 of the family's 1533-position model. The record is from RNAcentral.